UUUACUCUCUUUAAUCAUUGCUUCAGUUUUUUCAAAUUUUUUUUUCCCUCUUUCAGUAUGAUUUACGAUACAAAGAUGCUUCUCUGAAGUUGCUUCACAUAUUUAUUUACUUUAAUUUUGGUUAGCAUAGGUUGUUUAUGCUGUCUUGAGACUAGCAGAAGACCUUAGUGUAGCACCGGUUCCAUUCCUGUGGUUCCCAAUGUGGAAAGACAUUUAAACAAAAGAGAAAAAGGUUUCUGGCAAGAAAGUCUAUGAUGAUUUGAUGACACUGCUUAUGGCUGGGUAUGAAACAUCACUGCAGUUUUAACAUGGACCUUAUCGUUCAUUCUUUUUUUGAAUGGCUGCAGGAGCCUAGGGUUGUGGCAAAGCUCCAAGAAGAGGUAUCUUAUAUUUUCGUGCAUCCAAAUCUAUAUAAAAAAUCGAUUUGGUUUGUGUCUUAUGCAAUCUAACCGUUGUCUUUUCAUUCAAUCACUUUGUUUCUGUUAGGCUGUUUCUACACUAGGAGAUAGGUUUCCAACUAUUUGAGGAUGUAAAGAAACUAAGUAUGCAACUUGAGUAAACAAUGAUAUUAGUAUUUCUAACUUCUUAUUAGAAAAUGACCGGACUUUGCUAUCAUGCAUAAGACUUUUCUCCUUAUCAUUGCUGUCCUUAUGGUAGCCACAACCACGAGAGUUGAUUCAAUGAUCUCUCGAAAAUGACACACUUGGGAAAUAAGCUAUAAAAAGGUUUUAUUCUGUUAAUUUGAUUGAAUACGAUUAUUUAUUUAGUUACUAAGUUUUCUUCAUAUAUUAUAGUGGCCUGAACUUUUUUUUCCUUCUAGUUUCCAUCUUCUAGUCCUUUCUUAUAUAUGUCAUCUUUAUCUUAAUUACUAUUUAUAGCCUACAGGGUUAAGGAUAUAUUUAUUUCGGUGUGGAAUGAUUCCAUUGGAAUCUGUUUUGUAGUCCCAAACAUUGGGAGAAUACAGGGUGAGGACAUAUUUUCUUUUUUCAGGUAAAUGUUCAUAAUUUUAUCCAUGCAUUGGUCCUUGAUAUCGAUUUGCACUGAGGUAAACGUCAUUUGAAGGUUAUACCAUCUACUAUCUUUGUUACAUAUCAUUGAUAGUAGUAAUCAAUUUUUCAUUUACUUGCCAUUUGGUGCAGGACCAAUGAAGUAGGAACAUGUUUGCUACAUAAGCGACUGUCGUAGCACUUGCAAUGCUUAUUUGGAGAUUUAACUUUCAAAUGACAUUUGGAGCUCCAUAAGUGAAGAUGACAACAGGGCAACAAUUAUUGGUUGUCGAAGAUGACCAUAACAAAGAGAGUGCAACCUUCUUACCUACGUUAGAGAUGCCAGCACUGAAAAGUAGAUAAAGUCUGUUGGUAUUUCUGAAAAGGACCCUUCGGUUGCUCAGAAUGGUCACCUUGUACAAAAUAUAUGAAGUUUAUAGUAUAAAGAAUGUUGUAGUUCUUGUUGCAUUUUAAAAAUCGAUGUGGUUGUAGAUGGGGAAAGAUUUGGAGAAAGAUUACAAACAUUGUGAGGAACCAAACAAAUUGCAUGUAAUUCACCAAAUGAAUAUAUAAUAAGGAAGAAAAUAGGCAGAAAUACUGAGGAAAAAUAAGGCAUAGAUUAAAAUGUUGUGGUCUGUCGCUCAAUGCUCACAUGACAAAGAUGUAAGAUGCAAUCCAUUAGGGAGAGAAAUUCAUUUUACUACAAUGAA
Molecule: long non-coding RNA, 1696 nt
Organism: Ziziphus jujuba (common jujube)
Lineage: Eukaryota; Viridiplantae; Streptophyta; Magnoliopsida; Rosales; Rhamnaceae
Exons: 4
Source: RefSeq, a predicted model, not a curated record